GAUGAACGCUGGCGGCGUGCCUAAUACAUGCAAGUCGAGCGAACAGACGAGGAGCUUGCUGCGCUGACGUGAGGGGCGGGCGGGUGAGUAACACGUGUAUAACCUACCUAUAAGACUGGGAUAACUUCGGGAAAGCGGAGCUAAUACCGGAGAAUAUAUUGAACCGCAUGGUUCAAUAGUGAAAGACGGCUUUGCUGUCACUUAUAGAUGGUUCCGCGCCGCAUUAGCUAGUUGGUAGGGUAACGGCCUACCAAGGCAAGGAUGCGUAGCCGACCUGAGAGGCGGAUCGGCGACACUGGAACUGAGACACGGUCCAGACUCCUACGGGAGGCCGCAGUAGGGAAUGUUCCGCAAUGGGCGAAAGCCUGACGGAGCAACGCCGCGUGAGUGAUGAAGGUCUUCGGAUCGUAAAACUCGGUUAUGAGGGAUGAACAAAUGUGGAAGUAACCAUGCACGUCUUGACGGUAACUAAUCAGAAAGCCACGGCUAACUACGUG
RNAcentral lists this ribosomal RNA (497 nucleotides) under uncultured bacterium. RNAcentral describes it as "partial 16S ribosomal RNA". It matches the Rfam family "Bacterial small subunit ribosomal RNA", at positions 28 to 507 of the family's 1533-position model. The record is from RNAcentral.